CUACGGGCCGCUGCAGUGAGGAAUAUUGCACAAUGGGGGAAACCCUGAUGCAGCAACGCCGCGUGGAGGAUGACGCAUUUCGGUGUGUAAACUCCUUUUAUGAGUCAAGAAAAUGACGGUAGCUCAUGAAUAAGCACCGGCUAACUCCGUGCCAGCAGCCGCGGUAAUACGGAGGGUGCAAGCGUUACUCGGAAUCACUGGGCGUAAAGGACGCGUAGGCGGGAUGUCAAGUCAGGUGUGAAAUCCUAUGGCUCAACCAUAGAACUGCACUUGAAACUGGCAACCUAGAGUAUGGGAGGGGGAGAUGGAAUUAGUGGUGUAGGGGUAAAAUCCGUAGAUAUCACUGGGAAUACCGAAAGCGAAGGCGAUCUCCUGGAACAUUACUGACGCUAAAGCGUGAAAGCGUGGGGAGCAAACAGGAUUAGAUACCCCUGUAGUC
RNAcentral lists this ribosomal RNA (439 nucleotides) under uncultured bacterium. RNAcentral's name for it is "partial 16S ribosomal RNA". It matches the Rfam family "Bacterial small subunit ribosomal RNA", at positions 339 to 795 of the family's 1533-position model. The record is from RNAcentral.